CGGCGAGUGAAGAGGGAAAAGCUCAAAUUUUGAAUCUGGUGUCUUUGGCGCCCGAGUUGUAAUCUAGAGAAGUGUUUUCCGCACCGGACCGUGCACAAGUUCCCUGGAACGGGGCGUCAUAGAGGGUGAGAAUCCCGUAUAUGGCACGGACUACCGGCGCUCUGCGAUACACUCUCAACGAGUCGAGUUGUUUGGGAAUGCAGCUCAAAAUGGGUGGUAAAUUCCAUCUAAAGCUAAAUAUUGGCGAGAGACCGAUAGCGAACAAGUACCGUGAGGGAAAGAUGAAAAGCACUUUGGAAAGAGAGUGAAACAGUACGUGAAAUUGUUGAAAGGGAAGCGUUUGAAGUCAGUCGCGUCUGGCGGGAUUCAGCCUGGCUUCUGCCUGGUGUACUUCCCGUCCGACGGGUCAGCAUCGGUUUCGACCGAGAGAAAAAGGCUUGGGGAAUGUGGCCGUCCUCGGGCGGUGUUAUAGCCCCUUGUCGUAUGUCUCGGUUGGGACCGAGGACCGCAGCGCGCCUUACGGCCGGGGAUCGCUCCCUCGGUACGCGCUUAGGAUGCUGGCAUAAUGGCUUUAAGCGACCCGUCUUGAAACACGGACCAAGGAGUCUAACAUGUGCGCGAGUGUUUGGGUGUCAAACCCGAGCGCGUAAUGAAAGUGAACGGUCGGGAUCACGUACGUGUGCACCGACGCCCGGAGCAGACCUUCUGUGACGCAUCCGCGGUGGAGCGUAUAUGUUGGGACCCGAAAGAUGGUGAACUAUGCCUGAAUAGGGUGAAGCCAGAGGAAACUCUGGUGGAGGCUCGUAGCGAUUCUGACGUGCAAAUCGAUCGUCAAAUUUGGGUAUAGGGGCGAAAGACUAAUCGAACCAUCUAG
RNAcentral lists this ribosomal RNA (874 nucleotides) under mycorrhizal basidiomycete sp. C3. Its description in RNAcentral is "eukaryotic LSU rRNA". It matches the Rfam family "Eukaryotic large subunit ribosomal RNA", at positions 87 to 947 of the family's 3401-position model. Lineage: Eukaryota; Fungi; Basidiomycota. The record is from RNAcentral.